CCUACGGGAGGCAGCAGUGGGGAAUCUUGCGCAAUGGGCGAAAGCCUGACGCAGCCAUGCCGCGUGAAUGAUGAAGGUCUUAGGAUUGUAAAAUUCUUUCACCGAGGACGAUAAUGACGGUACUCGGAGAAGAAGCCCCGGCUAACUUCGUGCCAGCAGCCGCGGUAAUACGAAGGGGGCUAGCGUUGCUCGGAAUUACUGGGCGUAAAGGGAGCGUAGGCGGAUAGUUUAGUCAGAGGUGAAAGCCCAGGGCUCAACCUUGGAAUUGCCUUUGAUACUGGCUAUCUUGAGUACGGAAGAGGUAUGUGGAACUCCGAGUGUAGAGGUGAAAUUCGUAGAUAUUCGGAAGAACACCAGUGGCGAAGGCGACAUACUGGUCCGUUACUGACGCUGAGGCUCGAAAGCGUGGGGAGCAAACAGGAUUAGAUACCCUGGUAGUCCACGCUGUAAACGAUGAGUGCUAGUUGUCGGCAUGCAUGCAUGUCGGUGACGCAGCUAACGACAUAAGUACACUCCGCCGUCGGGGAGGUACGGUCGGCGAAGAAGUUAAAACGUAACGAAAGAAAGUUAGACGGCGUGAGACGUGCCGACGGACGACGACGAGGGAGGAGG
Molecule: ribosomal RNA, 612 nt
Filed under: uncultured bacterium
Lineage: Bacteria
Description: bacterial SSU rRNA
Rfam family: Bacterial small subunit ribosomal RNA (bases 1-519)
Source: RNAcentral